Molecule: RNA transcript, 1192 nt
Organism: Triticum aestivum (bread wheat)
Lineage: Eukaryota; Viridiplantae; Streptophyta; Magnoliopsida; Poales; Poaceae
Exons: 4
Source: RefSeq, a predicted model, not a curated record
CUACUAGCCCAAUUAGGAGCCGCUGGCUCAACCAUUUCCCCCCAAAUCAAACCCUAGUUCCCAAUCCUCCUCCCCAACCAACACCGUCGUCGCCGCCGCCGACCACCUCCUCCCUGGACCGCGCCCUCCAUCGCCGACUACAUCCACCCACGACCGUGCUCUCCACCUCCCAUCCCUCCGCCGACCCAACCGCCCCUUCUCCAGUGAAGAAAUGCUUGAUCUCGGCUAGCGGCUGGUAGUGGCAAGUGCCUUCAUGACGGACUUGGUAGCUCCCGGAUGCUCCUUCUCCAAAGCCUUGGGCAGCGCACCGCCGGCACAUCUCGCCACCGUUCUCGCGCCUGGUCGUUGUCCUCAUCCCAGGUCGCUGCAGGUUGCUACCGUUCUCGUCCUCGACCAGGUCGCCGCCUUCCUUACCUAGGUCGUCGGCCUUGCUCUUCCUUAUCCAGGAGCUCGAGGCUCGCCUCAGAUCGACCGGCUUCCAGCUCCAGCCUCCCCUAGGUAUCCUCCACCGCCUGCUGCUACUUCUCUCCUCCGACGGCUGCAGCAAGCCAUUCCUGCUGGUGCUCGCCUCAGCCACUGACCAUGAGGCAGAAGAAGUCCGUCACAAGAAAAUCUUGCUUUUAUGGAUUGAUGCUGGGACUUGGGGAGCUGCUCUUUGCAUAAUUUUGGUCCUAAUACAUAUACUUUUUUCCUUUAACUGGUGUCUGCUUCAUAUUUUUGACUUCUUUUAGUAGUUCUUUCCUAUGGUUGCAGGUGUAUGAGACUUCGGAGCUUCUAUAUGCAACAGCAAGAAGUGAGGAGGAACAAAUGAACCAUAAAAAGCUUAAAUUUGAACUCUGUUGUUGGAAGUGGAUAAGUCAAUGGCAAAAGCAGCAACGUGGCCACAAGGAAGCUGAGGAGGUUUUCCAAAGAUACACAAGUUAAUGGAGGUUUGUAAGAUCUACAAGCGGUUGUCAAUUUUGGAAGAUCUACAACGACUGAAGGUGUGGAAGACCUAUAAUUAAGUUGGUGUAGUGAUAAUGUAGUGCACCUAGUUUGUUGAACCUGGAGUACUUUUUGUGCCAGCACAACGUCCUUAUGUAUGGCCCUUUUCUGUAUGUAUGUAUGUAUCCAGAAACAUAUGUAUCUGACAUGUUAUGUUUAUAUGACAUGUUAUGUUUAUAUCGAAGGAAAGCUUUAAGGUUUUGGAUGA